UUUGUCCUUAGAAAGCAUAAAGUCACAAUGUGUCAUAGGGAUGGAAUAUUGGCAUUAACCACACUUGUCUUCUUCUUCUAUCUUAUCCUUCUUAUACUCUUCACACAUCCAUUCAUCAAGUUCAAAAGCAUCAGAUUUUUUUUUUCCUUAUAUGCAUGUUGUUUCUACAAUUUUCAAGGGCAUUUUAGUCCCCGGAAUUGGCUAACAUAUCCCUUUCUCUAUAAAAAAAAUUCCACCCACCACAAUAUUACUACUCGCAUAAAUCGAGUGCUGUUUCCUUCUCAAUUUGCCUCUACCAUGACUUGUUCCCACCCACAAUGAAAAAGGUAACCCUGCAAGAUUCUGCCUCUUCCCCUGGAAAAACAUCGCAAUUUGCCGCUGAAUGCUGGUUCGACGACGCAUGCAUACUCACUAUGGACUAUUUCGUUAAGACCCUAGCCGGCAUUAAGGCCAAGGGGGUUCGUCCUGAACUUAUUGGCUCAAUCAUAGCUCACUACUCGUCCAAAUGGUUACCUGAGCUAUCUGGUGAUAAUGCUUAUUGUGAGAGGGGAUCACUAACGAACAUCGAAGAAUCCCCAGAAAGUGUCACAGCUUCGUGGAUGAAGAAGAGAUUUUUCGUUGAAACUCUAGUGGGUGUUUUGCCUCCAGAGAAAGACUCAAUUCCAUGCAAUUUCAUGCUUCGCCUUCUCCGGACGGCAAACAUGGUUGCUGUAGAGCCUACGUAUAGAGCAGAGCUUGAGAAGAGGAUUUCAUGGCAGCUCGACCAAGCUUCACUGAAAGAGCUAAUGAUACCAUCUUUUAGCCACACUUGUGGGACCUUACUAGACGUUGAGCUAGUGACACGGUUAGUGAAGAGAUUUGUUAAUUUGGAUGAGGCAGCUAAGAGUGGAGCUGCUGCUUUAAUUAAGGUAGCUAAGCUUGUGGACUCUUAUUUAGCAGAAGCAGCUGUGGAUGCUAAUUUGAGUUUGUCAGAGUUUGAUGAUCUUGCUUCUGCUCUCCCUAGCCAUGUUCGAGCCAUUGAUGAUGGUUUAUACCGAGCCAUUGAUACCUAUCUCAAAGUAAGUGAUGCUCUGCUUAACUUUGUCCUUUUCUUUUUCUAUACCCUGUCUCUGCUUCUCCUUAGGUAGCCCAGAAAUUGUAGGCCUGUUCACUACUGUUCAUGAUCAACACCCAAUUAAAUAGCUAGCUGGCUGAUUAAUCUUGCAGCAAAAAAGAAAUUGAAUUAAGGUUGAUUAAUUAAUUAAGUUGCUAUUAGUUCCAAGCUUCUCUGAUGAAUUCACUAGUAGAUAUUAGAAGAAGAAAAAGACGAGUAGGAAAAGAUUAAAUGGAAAAGAGGAAAAAGAAACGCCGUCUGGGACCAAGAAGUGGUAGUGGCUGUGUUGUCACCAACUUGAGAUUCUUUCAUCUGAACUAUUUGGUGGUGGGGUUCAGUUUUCGCAGGGAGCACAGGAAGUAAAUUGACAUCCAUGCCCUUUAUCUAGGACCUCUGGGGUUGGUUUGGCCUGAUGCUGGCCUUUCUUUUCGUGUGGUCAUGGUAACAUAUGUUCAAGGUAGUGUCAGAUGUACCUUCAAUAGCAUUGACACAUCGUUUAGGUAAAUUUUGUUUUAUAUUGACUGUCCUACAAACAUUUCUGAGAUAUGAAUGGCAAAAGUCACCACAACUUGGCAAUACAUUUCUCUACCCAUUUAUGCCUGCAAGUGUUGAAGUUCCUUCACAUAACUAUGCAUGAAACUAGUCAUCUUUAUUAAACAUUCAUUGAACUACUAAUUCAGUGAUUAAAUAUAUGGAUUAUUAUAUUUUCUUGGCAUAAUCAAUUAAUAAUUAACCAUGUAAUGAUAAAUUAUGUUUUGCUAGGCGCAUCCUGGAGCGACAAAGCAAGAAAGGAAGAUUCUUUGCAGAUUAAUUGAUAGCAGGAAGCUCUCCCCUGAGGCUUCACUCCAUGCUGCUCAGAAUGAAAGGCUGCCUGUUCGUGCUGUCAUCCAGGUUCUCUUCUCUGAACAAAACAAGCUCAAUCGACACGUCGAUUGGAGUGGUUCGUUUAGUGGUACGAGGAGCCCAAACCCAGGUUUCGACCCUCCUGGAAGGUGCUUUUCGAAACGGGAAAUGAAUGCUCAACAAAUGGAGAUAAAGAAGUUAAGAGAAGAUGUACUUAGGCUGCAAGGGCAAUGCUAUGCCAUGCAAAUGCAAAUGGAGAGGAUGGUGGAGAAGAAGAAAGGGUUUUUUAGGUGGAAGAAAUUGGGGAUAGUGUCCUCGUUAAAAAGUGUCAGUAGUGUUGAGAAGAUUGAAGAGGUUAAUGGAGAAGGAGAGGCUGGGUUUGGUAGGCUGACUCCUGUGGACAUGAAGACAAAGUUGGUGAAGGGAAGGACUCCUAAGUGGAGAAAAUCCACGUCUUGAAUGUGAAAUUUCAAGCUAGAUGACUGACAUAUGGUUAAUUUUUUCUUAAAAUGUUGUUAUGCUAAUUAGUUAUGUGGUUUGCUUUGUUUGUAUUAAUAAGAAAUAAUCUAUAUUUUCAGCUUUAAAAAUUGUGUGGUUUUACCAUUAACUUCUUGAUUUGUUUCAUUAAGUCUAAUUGCUGAUUUGGGUAAUUCAUCAAAUUUGAUAUCAAAUCAAUAAUGGUAUUAUGUGAGAUAACUUUUUCUUUAAUCUAUUUUUUGUUUUUAUUCAUUUAAAAUGAUAAUCUGUAGGGUAAUCACCAGAACCUCGUACUCGGCUACAUUGUUCGUAGCUUGGAAGUUUAGCCAUGCCGUGUGCUUGAGUUUUAUGCCUUGGGGGCCCUCCCAGAUGAUCCCAAUUUUGGAUCCGCUGGUGCUUGUUGCUCUGUCGACCCAGACGCUCCAUAUUGCUUUCUGCUUAUUUCUUCUUCUGGCAAUGGUGCGAGUUUGGCAACGAAAUCAACAAGGACUUGUGCCUUUAGAGCUGUUCGAGGUACAUACUUGAUAUCGUAGGCUCCCAAUAUUACCGACCAAGUGGAGAGGCAUUCUGAUAUGUCCGAUCUUUGCAAGAUCUUUCUUAAGGGGUAGUUUAUGCAUAUUUCGAUAGUGUGGGACUCGAAGUACGAUCUUAACUUUUGUGGCUGCUGAGAGUACGAGAAAGGCUAAUUUUUCCAAAGUCGGAUAGUUGAGUUCGGCUCUUUUCAGGACUUGGCUUGUAACACCCUCACUUUAGAUAGUCCGUACGUUCUACUGUUCUGGUGACCAAUGUUUGUCCAGAUAGUCAAAAUGUCUGGAACUAUAAUUAGACUAGAGUGAGGAGUCAUAA
This 3259-nucleotide unclassified non-coding RNA is filed under the name Hevea brasiliensis (rubber tree). The record is from RNAcentral. Lineage: Eukaryota; Viridiplantae; Streptophyta; Magnoliopsida; Malpighiales; Euphorbiaceae.